This 505-nucleotide ribosomal RNA is filed under the name uncultured bacterium. Its description in RNAcentral is "partial 16S ribosomal RNA". It matches the Rfam family "Bacterial small subunit ribosomal RNA", at positions 28 to 507 of the family's 1533-position model. The record is from RNAcentral.
GACGAACGCUGGCGGCGUGCCUAAUACAUGCAAGUAGAACGCACAGUUUAUACCGUAGCUUGCUACACCAUAAACUGUGAGUUGCGAACGGGUGAGUAACGCGUAGGUAACCUGCCUGGUAGCGGGGGAUAACUAUUGGAAACGAUAGCUAAUACCGCAUAAUAUUAAUUAUUGCAUGAUAAUUGAUUGAAAGAUGCAAUUGCAUCACUACCAGAUGGACCUGCGUUGUAUUAGCUAGUAGGUGAGGUAACGGCGCACCUAGGCGACGAUACAUAGCCGAACUGAGAGGGUGAUCGGCCACACUGGGACUGAGACACGGCCCAGAAUCCUACGGGAGGCAGCAGUAGGGAAUCUUCGGCAAUGGACGAAAGUCUGACCGAGCAACGCCGCGUGAGUGAAGAAGGUUUUCGGAUCGUAAAGCUCGGUUGUAAGAGAAGAACGGGUGUGAGAGUGGAAAGUUCACACUGUGACGGUAUCUGACCAGAAAGGGACGGCUAACUACGUG